Molecule: ribosomal RNA, 493 nt
Filed under: Sulfitobacter dubius
Lineage: Bacteria; Pseudomonadati; Pseudomonadota; Alphaproteobacteria; Rhodobacterales; Roseobacteraceae
Description: bacterial SSU rRNA
Rfam family: Bacterial small subunit ribosomal RNA
Source: RNAcentral
AUGCCGCGUGUGUGAUGAAGGUCUUAGGAUCGUAAAGCACUUUCGCCAGGGAUGAUAAUGACAGUACCUGGUAAAGAAACCCCGGCUAACUCCGUGCCAGCAGCCGCGGUAAUACGGAGGGGGUUAGCGUUGUUCGGAAUUACUGGGCGUAAAGCGCGCGUAGGCGGAUUGGAAAGUUGGGGGUGAAAUCCCGGGGCUCAACCCCGGAACUGCCUCCAAAACUAUCGGUCUAGAGUUCGAGAGAGGUGAGUGGAAUUCCAAGUGUAGAGGUGAAAUUCGUAGAUAUUUGGAGGAACACCAGUGGCGAAGGCGGCUCACUGGCUCGAUACUGACGCUGAGGUGCGAAAGUGUGGGGAGCAAACAGGAUUAGAUACCCUGGUAGUCCACACCGUAAACGAUGAAUGCCAGUCGUCGGGCAGUAUACUGUUCGGUGACACACCUAACGGAUUAAGCAUUCCGCCUGGGGAGUACGGUCGCAAGAUUAAAACUCAAG